GAUGAACGCUAGCGGCAGGCCUAACACAUGCAAGUCGAGGGAGAAGCCCUUCGGGGCAGAAACCGGCGCACGGGUGCGUAACGCGUAUGCAACCUACCUUUCACAGGGGGAUAGCCCGAAGAAAUUUGGAUUAAUACCCCAUAAUAUUAUUGGGUGGCAUCAUUUGAUAAUUAAAAUUACGAUGGUGAAAGAUGGGCAUGCGUCCUAUUAGCUAGUUGGAGUGGUAACGGCACCCCAAGGCUACGAUAGGUAGGGGUCCUGAGAGGGAGAUCCCCCACACUGGUACUGAGACAGGGACCAGACUCCUACGGGAGGCAGCAGUGAGGAAUAUUGGUCAACGGUCGGAAGACUGAACCAGCCAUGCCGCGUGCAGGAAGAAUGCCUUAUGGGUUGUAAACUGCUUUUAUAUGGGAAGAAUAAGGAGUACGUGUACUUUGAUGACGGU
This 445-nucleotide ribosomal RNA is filed under the name Capnocytophaga granulosa. RNAcentral describes it as "bacterial SSU rRNA". It matches the Rfam family "Bacterial small subunit ribosomal RNA", at positions 28 to 476 of the family's 1533-position model. The record is from RNAcentral. Lineage: Bacteria; Pseudomonadati; Bacteroidota; Flavobacteriia; Flavobacteriales; Flavobacteriaceae.